RNAcentral lists this ribosomal RNA (738 nucleotides) under Linnemannia biramosa. Its description in RNAcentral is "eukaryotic LSU rRNA". It matches the Rfam family "Eukaryotic large subunit ribosomal RNA", at positions 55 to 648 of the family's 3401-position model. The record is from RNAcentral. Lineage: Eukaryota; Fungi; Mortierellomycota; Mortierellomycetes; Mortierellales; Mortierellaceae.
GGAAAAGAAACUAACAAGGAUUCCCCUAGUAACGGCGAGUGAAGCGGGAUGAGCUCAAAUUUAAAAUCUGGCUGGUUUACUAGUCCGAAUUGUAGUUUAUAGAAGCGUUUUCGGUGGCAGCCUGGGUAUAAAUCCUUUGGAAUAGGGUAUCAUAGAGGGUGAGAAUCCCGUCUUUGACUCAGUGCAUGCUACUAUGUGAUACGUUUUCAAAGAGUCGAGUUGUUUGGGAAUGCAGCUCAAAAUGGGAGGUAAAUUUCUUCUAAAGCUAAAUACCGGCGAGAGACCGAUAGCGAACAAGUACCGUGAGGGAAAGAUGAAAAGAACUUUGAAAAGAGAGUUAAACAGUGCGUGAAAUUGUUGAAAGGGAAACGUUUGACACCAGUUAUGCGGGUGGAAAAUCAAUCUUUUGCAAUGGCAAGCUGUGGGCGUUCAGACCGCAAGGCUGGCGUUUGCUUCAUUGUUGUUGUAAGUGAUGCACUUUUUCAUUUGCAGGUCAACAUCAGUUUGUUUCGCUGGACAAAACCCCAAGGGAAGGUGGCAGCUUAGGCUGUGUUAUAGCCCUGGGGCGAUACAGUGGAAUGGACUGAGGUUUUCGCAGCGUGUGCUUUCGGGCAAGGUCGACUGGGUGCUAUGGGAUCGUUUGGCGUACAAUGCAUGCAUUUUGCGCUUCGUCUUUUUCAUACUCGCUCAAAUCGUCUCUUCCACGCUUAGGAUGUUGACUUAAUGGUUUUAAACGAC